This 1051-nucleotide long non-coding RNA is filed under the name Equus caballus (horse). RNAcentral describes it as "lncRNA (ENSECAG00000035480.3)". Lineage: Eukaryota; Metazoa; Chordata; Mammalia; Perissodactyla; Equidae. The record is from RNAcentral.
AUUAUCUCUCAAAGGUCCCACCUCCAAAGACCAUCACAUUGGAAAUUAGGUAUUCUACAUAUGAAUUUUCGGGGGACAAAAAUAUUCAAUCCAUAGCCCUCUGGCUCAUCCCAGCUGAUUUAGGGCUGACUUGUUAAUAAGCAAGCAGUUAGGAAGACAUACUAAGCUCAAACGCAAAAGUUUCAUUACAGGGAAAAUGACAUCCAGAGAACAUCAAGAAGCUGAAGCUUCCCAGACCCCAACCCCUUGGGUUCCUGGCACCAGAAUCCACUAUCCACCAUGGAGGCAGACAACACAGGAACCUACCUGUGAAUUCCCUUAUCUCGCCAUCCUCCUCUCUGCAAGUAGCCUCAUAAGGCUGAAAGCAGGCUGGAGGGAAGGUGCCAACCAGCAAGGCCACAUGCUCCCCUUCCCCUACCUGAAACCUCAAAUAAAAACCCCUUCCUGUUUUUCUUUGACAAGGAGGAUCGGAGUUCUAGCGAACUCCAAUCUCCUUGUCUGGCUGCUUUUCAAGAAAACUCUUUCCUUGCCAUAAGCCUGGCAUUCCAGUUUUAUUUGGCCCCUCUUGUGUGGCAGGUAAAGAAACUAUGUUCGUAUCCAGGAACAAUUUGGCGAGCCAGCCAGGAGGCUCUUGCCCAUGACUCUGCAGCCCCAGGGCAACUGGGAUUACCUGGGAAGCAGUCCAGCAGCUACCUAGUUUGUAGCUUUUGUUCUCAAAGAUGGUUGCUACACUUCUAAGCACUGAGUCUCUCUUCCAAUCAAGAAGAAGGAAGAAAGAAUUAAAGGUUAAAGAGGUAUGUCGGCUGAGCCUGUGCUCUUUAAAAGCUUUCCCAGAAACGCCAGUCACCCAGUUCUGGUUAAUUUUGAAUGAUUGGAAGUGAGUUACAUGGCCAUCUCCUCAUGCAGGAGAUUCUGGAAGAUAAAAGUAGGAUAAAAUACCACUCUAAGAGGACUAAGAAAAGACAGCCUGCUCCUUCUAACAUCGUCUACAGAGUGUUUGUAGUGACUGAGAGUUCUGCUGAAAAUACUAUGAAAAGAGUUUAAUAAAAAC